Rhipicephalus microplus (southern cattle tick) is the source of this 219-nucleotide long non-coding RNA. NCBI's taxonomy places the organism in Eukaryota, Metazoa, Arthropoda, Arachnida, Ixodida, Ixodidae. The record is from RefSeq and is a predicted model, not a curated record.
GAAUGCACAAGGAGGUUCGAAAGAGCUUCCAAAGAAAGUCCAGCACUCCCUCAGACAAGCCGUGGAAGGCAUGAAGGCAAAGAUGGACGCUGCCGAGAGAGCCGCCAGGGAGCUGCUUGCUCAGGAGAAGGCCACUCGACGAAUUGAUGUACAGCGAAGCCUCAUGGAAACGGCUGAGGGCGUCAAAACAUCCUACGAUAAAUACGAGCUGGAGUUCCA